This 253-nucleotide ribosomal RNA is filed under the name uncultured bacterium. Its description in RNAcentral is "partial 16S ribosomal RNA". It matches the Rfam family "Bacterial small subunit ribosomal RNA", at positions 524 to 776 of the family's 1533-position model. The record is from RNAcentral.
UACGUAGGGUGCGAGCGUUAAUCGGAAUUACUGGGCGUAAAGAGUGCGUAGGCGGUUCGUUAUGUCUGUGGUGAAAUCCCCGGGCUCAACCCGGGAACUGCGUCCGAUACUGGAAGGCUUGAAUCCGGGAGAGGGAUGCGGAAUUCCAGGUGUAGCGGUGAAAUGCGUAGAUAUCUGGAGGAACACCGGUGGCGAAGGCGGCAUCCUGGACCGGCAUUGACGCUGAGGCGCGAAAGCGUGGGGAGCGAACAGG